CCUGCCCGAGUGCCAUGCUCGUCUCAGCCACUAGCUAGGAGCAGCCUGGGAGUGGCAUUGCCUCGACACAAACGUGGUGAUGGAUUUUGGAGUAUGGCAGCUGCUGCCAGAGAUUCAAGAGGUAAGAAUUGUGACAAAGGCCACUCUUUUUUCAUUGACACCCCAGAUUCCCCAGCCACGUUAGCCUACAGAAGUAUAAUUCAGAGAAUCCAAGAGUUUUGUAAUCUCCAUCAGUCAAAAGAAGAGAACCUCAUCAGUUCCUGAAACGAGAGAAUGUUCAGGACCAAGCAGUUACCCUGCGAGGCACCCACUGGGCAGCACAUCCAGCCAGACCCGACCAGCUCCGGGAUGGGGUGGGUCACAGCAAAAAGGGACCAGAUGCUGGUGUGGUCCAAAGCCACUUUCUCAGAGACACUUUAAUCAUUGAGUAUUUGUACACUUUUCUUUAGAACAUAUAUAAAGGGCAUUCUCUAC
Molecule: small RNA, 474 nt
Filed under: Pongo abelii (Sumatran orangutan)
Lineage: Eukaryota; Metazoa; Chordata; Mammalia; Primates; Hominidae
Description: processed transcript
Source: RNAcentral